UAGGGAAUCUUCCGCAAUGGGCGAAAGCCUGACGGAGCAACGCCGCGUGAGUGAUGAAGGUCUUCGGAUCGUAAAACUCUGUUAUUAGGGAAGAACAAAUGUGUAAGUAACUAUGCACGUCUUGACGGUACCUAAUCAGAAAGCCACGGCUAACUACGUGCCAGCAGCCGCGGUAAUACGUAGGUGGCAAGCGUUAUCCGGAAUUAUUGGGCGUAAAGCGCGCGUAGGCCGUUUUUUAAGUCUGAUGUGAAAGCCCACGGCUCAACCGUGGAGGGUCAUUGGAAACUGGAAAACUUGAGUGCAGAAGAGGAAAGUGGAAUUCCAUGUGUAGCGGUGAAAUGUGCAGAGAUAUGGAGGAACACCAGUGGCGAAGGCGACUUUCUGGUCUGUAACUGACGCUGAUGUGCGAAAGCGUGGGGAUCAAACAGG
This 429-nucleotide ribosomal RNA is filed under the name Actinomycetes bacterium. Its description in RNAcentral is "Actinobacteria bacterium partial 16S ribosomal RNA". It matches the Rfam family "Bacterial small subunit ribosomal RNA", at positions 355 to 776 of the family's 1533-position model. Lineage: Bacteria; Bacillati; Actinomycetota; Actinomycetes. The record is from RNAcentral.